UGGGCAGAUGCUGCGGCUCGUCGCGCGGCUCCAGCUGGGGCGCGGUGGUCCCGACGGUCACCCGAAUCGCAGGGAGUCGCCGCUGGAGAGGGGCUCGGCGCCCGGCGGGGACUGCAGCUGGGCUGUGUCUGAACUGCUGGAGCCUGCAGGAGCUGGUCAGCAGGGACCCCGGCCACUUCCUUAUCCUCCUUGAGCAGAUCCUGCAGAAGACCCGAGAGGUCCAGGAGAAGGGCACCUACGACCUGCUCACCCCACUGGCCCUGCUCUUCUAUUCCACUGUUCUUUGUACACCACACUUCCCACCAGACUCGGAUCUCCUUCUGAAGGCAGCCAGCACCUACCACCGGUUCCUGACCUGGCCUGUUCCUUACUGCAGCAUCUGCCAGGAGCUGCUCACCUUCAUUGAUGCUGAACUCAAGGCCCCAGGGAUCUCCUACCAGAGACUGGUGAGGGCUGAGCAGGGCCUGCCCAUCAGGAGUCACCGCAGCUCCACCGUCACCGUGCUGCUGCUGAACCCAGUGGAAGUGCAGGCCGAGUUCCUUGCUGUAGCCAAUAAGCUGAGUACGCCCGGACACUCGCCUCACAGUGCC
Molecule: small RNA, 590 nt
Filed under: Pan troglodytes (chimpanzee)
Lineage: Eukaryota; Metazoa; Chordata; Mammalia; Primates; Hominidae
Description: processed transcript
Source: RNAcentral